RNAcentral lists this ribosomal RNA (419 nucleotides) under Artemia urmiana. RNAcentral's name for it is "partial small subunit ribosomal RNA". The record is from RNAcentral. Lineage: Eukaryota; Metazoa; Arthropoda; Branchiopoda; Anostraca; Artemiidae.
UUCAACAGGGGUGAAAUCUGUAUACACCAUGAAUUUUUUGAUUAAAGUACCUUUUAGGUGGUCAAAUGACUAGGAUUAGAUACCCUAUUAGUCCACUCUUAAUUAACCUGGGUAGUAGUAUUGAAACCUAAAGAAUUUGGCGGUUUCUAAACCUACUAGAGGAACCUGCCCCAUAAACGACAAUCCACGAAAAAAUUCACCCGGGCUAGUUAUGCAGCUUAUAUACCGUCGUUCAGAGGACUAAAUAAAUAGAUCCUCUUAAAAGCUUAGGCUAAUAAAUCAGAUCAAGGUGUAGCUUAUGCCCGGGAGAGGGUGGGUUACAAUGAAAAUUCAUACGGAACUUCUAUUUUAUGAUAGAAAAGAAGGUGGAUUUAGAAGUAAGACUUAAUAUACUGAAAAAGGCUCUCAGAAAUGUACAC